GUUGUAGAAGUGGUUAUAAUGGAGGAUCCCAAAAAAAAUGACUUUCACCAUGCUGUAGUGAAUCGGCAAUAAGGGAUCUUCACAAAUAUAAUGAAACUACUAUCAAUAUUGUAUCACCAAUGCUAAUGUAUCAUUAAAUGCAAAUCUUCAAUACACGUAAUAAAUUUUUUCUGCAAA
Centruroides sculpturatus (bark scorpion) is the source of this 177-nucleotide long non-coding RNA. RefSeq lists it as uncharacterized. NCBI's taxonomy places the organism in Eukaryota, Metazoa, Arthropoda, Arachnida, Scorpiones, Buthidae. The record is from RefSeq and is a predicted model, not a curated record. The transcript is spliced from 3 exons.